This 497-nucleotide long non-coding RNA is filed under the name Heterocephalus glaber (naked mole-rat). Its description in RNAcentral is "lncRNA (ENSHGLG00100043482.1)". Lineage: Eukaryota; Metazoa; Chordata; Mammalia; Rodentia; Bathyergidae. The record is from RNAcentral.
GAAAUGAGCACAAAUUUAAUAUCCCUUAUCUGGAAUGCUUGGGAGCUAGUGUCCAAUUUUGGAAUUUUUUCAGAUUUUGGAAUACUUGGAUAGACUUUACUGGUUGAGCAUCCCUAAACUGAAAAUUCGAACUGAAAUGCUCCAGGAUUCAACAUCCAGAUGGAUCGAACUUGGGAUCUUGUGCUUAUGAGGCAGGUGAUGGAACCGCUGAGCUGAAUCCCCGGUCCUCCAUUAUCCCUUUUUUAAGGAUCAAACUCAGGACUUUGUGCUUGCGAGGCAGGCGCCGGAACCACUGAGCUAAAUCCCCAGCCAACAACUCACUGUUUUGAGAGCUCAAGGGUGCCACAUAAUCCAUAAUCACCUCCAAAGGAAGCUUCCCCAUGACCACAAACCUCCCACUAGGCCUCAGCUCUCAAAGAUUCCACCCAGUCCCCCAACAUUGUCACUGUGGGGCCAGGUUCUCACCCAGGAAGCUCUGGGGAACAAAUUGUAUCCAA